Molecule: ribosomal RNA, 468 nt
Filed under: uncultured bacterium
Lineage: Bacteria
Description: partial 16S ribosomal RNA
Rfam family: Bacterial small subunit ribosomal RNA
Source: RNAcentral
GAUGAACGCUGGCGGCGUGCCUAACACAUGCAAGUCGAACGGAAAGGCCCUGCUUUUGUGGGGUGCUCGAGUGGCGAACGGGUGAGUAACACGUGAGUAUCCCGCCCUUGACUUUGGGAUAACUUCAGGAAACUGCGGCUACCACCGGCUAGCAGCUCCUGCUGCAUGGUGGGCGUUGGAAAGUUUCGGCGGUGGUGGAUGGACUCGCGGCUUACCAGCUUGUUGGGGGAGUAGUGGCUUACCAAGCCUUUGACGGAUAGCCGGCCUGAGAGGGUGACCGGCCACAUUGGGCCUGAGAGACGGCCCAGUCUCCUACGGGAGGCAGCGGUGGGAAAUAUUGCACAGUGGGGGGGAGCCUGAGACAAAGGCGCCGGGUGCGGAAAGACGGCCUUCGGGUUAUAAACCGCUUUCGCCUGUGACGAAGCGGGAGUGACGGUAAUGAGUAAAGAAGCACCGGCUAACUACGUG